This 805-nucleotide long non-coding RNA is filed under the name Polistes fuscatus (common paper wasp). RNAcentral's name for it is "uncharacterized LOC122524729". The record is from RNAcentral. Lineage: Eukaryota; Metazoa; Arthropoda; Insecta; Hymenoptera; Vespidae.
AGUCAUGGCCGUUCGCGUGUCACGCACGCACGAGCGCGCGUGUGAAGAACUUAGGUCGGAUCCCGUGGUUCCCAUGGAACAAACUAUCUAAUAGUAUUUUUCAAGUUUCCCAGUAACGAGGACAGAGACUAUUUCCGGUUCCGUAGAGAGUUAUUCCCUUCCUGUACUGCGACAAUUUUCCAUUAGUCCGUGUGUAUUCGUAACUCGUGUCAGUAAAAACACCGGGGCGUUGUGAUCGGCUUUUAUGUUUUUUUUUCUUUUUUCUUCUCUUAUUCUCUUCUCUCCUUACAUUUCUGUGAAUGAACGGAAAGAUAAAUUAGAGGUCGUUAUAGAUUUUUAUUCUUAGAUAAUAUCUAUUAGGGAAAAAACACAAAUUGUUCGAUGUAUCGGAUGAAAUAUAUAACAACGAAAAAAAUCAUAAAAAGAAAAAAGAGAAAGAUGUUUGAGAGCGGCAAAAAAGACAGGACGCAUUAAGUCGAGACCUUGGCUCGAUUUAUACAGAAAAUGUGGAGCAGGUGUCUACCUGGGACGAUCAGGAUGCAGCCAGGCCUGUCCGUUCGACCGACGGGCAACGUACACAAGCCAACCUGAAACCGGAAGCACCGCUUUCUGCCUUGCUGCUCACGAACAAUAAGAUCGAAAGAUUCCUCAGAGAAGCGAGCACGAUCGAAUACCGAGCUGUUUUAUCAUAGAUGAAAGAUCUAUAAAAAUUCCUUCCUCAGGUCAAGUAUCUCGCAAAAUGGAGAUCAUUGUUUUAGAUUCGAGACAAUAUUGCUAAUAAGAUUUAUUACUGAACUAUCUCAAA